ACUGCUCAGUAACACGUAGUCAACAUGCCCAGGGGACGAGGAUAACCUCGGGAAACUGAGGAUAAACCACGAUAGGUCAUGAUUUCUGGAAUGAUUCAUGGCUCAAACCUACAUGGCCCCUGGAUUGGACUGCGGCCGAUCAGGCUGUUGGUGAGGUAAUGGCCCACCAAACCUGUUACCGGUACGGGCUCUGAGAGGAGGAGCCCGGAGAUGGGCACUGAGACAAGGGCCCAGGCCCUAUGGGGCGCAGCAGGCGCGAAACCUCUGCAAUAGGCGAAAGCCUGACAGGGUUACUCUGAGUGAUUUCCGCUAAGGGAAUCUUUUGGCACCUCUAAAAAUGGUGCAGAAUAAGGGGUGGGCAAGUCUGGUGUCAGCCGCCGCGGUAAUACCAGCACCCCGAGUGGUCGGGACGAUUAUUGGGCCUAAAGCAUCCGUAGCUUGUUCUGCAAGUCUUCCGUUAAAUCCACCUGCUCAACAGAUGGGCCGCGGAGGAUACUACAGGGCUAGGAGGCGGGAGAGGCAGGCGGUACUCAGUGGGUAGGGGUAAAAUCCACUGAUCCACUGAAGACCACCAGUGGCGAAGGCGGCUUGCCAGAACGCGCUCGACGGUGAGGGAUGAAAGCUGGGGGAGCAAACCGGAUUAGAUACCCGGGUAGUCCCAGCUGUAAACGAUGCAGACUCGGUGAUGGGCUAGCUUUGAGCCAGCCCAGUGCCGCAGGGAAGCCGUUAAGUCUGCCGCCUGGGGAGUACGGUCGCAAGACUGAAACUUAAAGGAAUUGGCGGGGGAGCAC
Molecule: ribosomal RNA, 791 nt
Filed under: uncultured archaeon
Lineage: Archaea
Description: bacterial SSU rRNA
Rfam family: Archaeal small subunit ribosomal RNA
Source: RNAcentral